AGAGUACUCCCUCUGUUCGGAAAUAUUUAUCCUAAAAAUGGUUUAAAAUGGAUGUAUCUAUAACUAAAAUAAGUCUAGAUACAACCAUUUCUAGAACAGGUAUUUCCGCACGGAAAGAGUACGUA
This is a non-coding RNA of Triticum aestivum (bread wheat), 125 nucleotides long. Lineage: Eukaryota; Viridiplantae; Streptophyta; Magnoliopsida; Poales; Poaceae. The record is from Rfam.